Molecule: ribosomal RNA, 377 nt
Filed under: uncultured bacterium
Lineage: Bacteria
Description: bacterial SSU rRNA
Rfam family: Bacterial small subunit ribosomal RNA
Source: RNAcentral
ACACGUAGGGGGCGAGCGUUGUCCGGAAUUACUGGGCGUAAAGGGCGCGUAGGCGGCCUAAUAAGUCUGAUGUGAAACCCCUGGGCUUAACCCUGGGCUGGCAUUAGAAACUGUUAGGCUUGAGGACAGGAGAGGAAAGCGGAAUUCUCAGUGUAGCGGUGAAAUGCGUAGAUAUUGGGAAGAACACCAGUGGCGAAGGCGGCUUUCUGGACUGCCCCUGACGCUGAGGCGCGAAAGCCAGGGUAGCGAACGGGAUUAGAUACCCCGGUAGUCCUGGCCGUAAACGAUGGAUACUAGGUGUGGGAGGUAUCGACCCCUUCCGUGCCGCAGUUAACACAUUAAGUAUCCCGCCUGGGGAGUACGGCCGCAAGGCUGAA